CCUCAGGGUUUUCCAGAGCUGAAGAAUGACACAUUCCUGCGAGCAGCCUGGGGAGAGGAAACAGACUACACUCCCGUUUGGUGCAUGCGCCAGGCAGGCCGUUACUUACCAGAGUUUAGGGAAACCCGGGCUGCCCAGGACUUUUUCAGCACGUGUCGCUCUCCUGAGGCCUGCUGUGAACUGACUCUGCAGGUGAGGGGUCCACAAAAGAGGGAAAGAUUUAUGCCUUCAGUCUUCCACCUAGCAACCUGUCUCCUGUUUCCUACAGCCACUGCGUCGCUUCCCUCUGGAUGCUGCCAUCAUUUUCUCCGACAUCCUUGUUGUACCCCAGGCACUGGGCAUGGAGGUGACCAUGGUACCUGGCAAAGGACCCAGCUUCCCAGAGCCAUUAAGAGAAGAGCAGGACCUAGAAUGCCUACGGGAUCCAGAAGUGGUAGCCUCUGAGCUAGACUAUGUGUUCCAAGCCAUCACCCUUACCCGACAACGACUGGCUGGACGUGUGCCGCUGAUUGGCUUUGCUGGUGCCCCAGUAAUGUGGCGCAGGGCAGGGACUUGGGGCGCGGGGAGAUCACUCUGGCAGGUCUGGGAUAGACAAAGGAAGGGUCAGUCUGGCUUCUGUGACAUCAUCUUUCUAUCCUUCUGUAGUGGACCCUGAUGACAUACAUGGUUGAGGGUGGUGGCUCAAGCACCAUGGCUCAGGCCAAGCGCUGGCUCUAUCAGAGACCUCAGGCUAGUCACCAGCUGCUUCGCAUCCUCACUGAUGCUCUGGUCCCAUAUCUGGUAGGACAAGUGGCGGCUGGUGCCCAGGUGAGUCCUGAGAGAGAAAUAGGCUGAGAUUUGGUCUGUGAGGACCAGAAGCAAGAGUGUCCUA
RNAcentral lists this small RNA (871 nucleotides) under Pongo abelii (Sumatran orangutan). RNAcentral's name for it is "processed transcript". The record is from RNAcentral. Lineage: Eukaryota; Metazoa; Chordata; Mammalia; Primates; Hominidae.